AGUAACCUGCCUUGGAUGGGGAAUAACAGCUGGAAACAGCUGCUAAUACCGCAUAAUAUAUCUGGGUCGCAUGGCUCUGGAUAUCAAAGAUUUAUCGCUCUGAGAUGGACUCGCGUCUGAUUAGCUAGUUGGUGGGGCAACGGCCCACCAAGGCGACGAUCAGUAGCCGGACUGAGAGGUUGGCCGGCCACAUUGGGACUGAGACACGGCCCAGACUCCUACGGAAGGCAGCAG
RNAcentral lists this ribosomal RNA (234 nucleotides) under uncultured bacterium. RNAcentral's name for it is "partial 16S ribosomal RNA". It matches the Rfam family "Bacterial small subunit ribosomal RNA", at positions 120 to 354 of the family's 1533-position model. The record is from RNAcentral.